Molecule: ribosomal RNA, 253 nt
Filed under: uncultured bacterium
Lineage: Bacteria
Description: partial 16S ribosomal RNA
Rfam family: Bacterial small subunit ribosomal RNA
Source: RNAcentral
GACGUAGGGGACGAGCGUUGUUCGGAAUUACUGGGCGUAAAGGGCGCGUAGGCGGCCUUCUAAGUCGGACGUGAAAUCCCUCGGCUUAACCGAGGAACUGCGUCCGAUACUGAAAGGCUUGAAUCCGGGAGAGGGAUGUGGAAUUCCAGGUGUAGCGGUGAAAUGCGUAGAUAUCUGGAGGAACACCGGUGGCGAAGGCGGCAUCCUGGACCGGUAUUGACGCUGAGGCGCGAAAGCUAGGGGAGCAAACGGG